UUUUUUUAGGGGGUGUGCAGACAGGCAGGCUGGCUAUGAAAGAUCAAGGCACAGCAUCUUUAUGAACUCUUGGAGUCGGACUCUUGGAGCCGUUACAGUAGCUGACAUCCCGCUGCCUUAAUUACAGCAGACGUGAAAAAAAAAGAAAAGAAAAAAAAAAAGCUCCGAUUUCCAGCCUGUGAAGCAGGCGUCCUCCCCCGACUCUCGUCGUCUCCUUCUCACCCGAGGCGCGGGGGCCUUUGAGGAGAAGUGAAGUGGGGAAAAAUGUUGGCGGUAGCAAAGUGAUACGGAGCAGGACACUUAUAUAUACACACACACACACACACACACAUAGAGAUGAAGUGGAGAGCGAGUAAGACCAGGAGGAGCAAAGCUAUUUUGCACCAUUUGGCAGCCGAGACCAACGCCUGCCUAAAAAUACUCUGUACCCGAGGUUGUCAACUUUCAGCUGGGUCAGACAGAAAAAAUAAUUGUGCGCAUGUGAGAGCGAGAGAGCGUGUGUGUUUACGAUAAGGCCGAAAACCACCAGUCAGCUGCUCAUGUAUUCAGUAUAGUAGUAGUAGUAGUAGUAUUGCACGUUUUCACACAGUUGUGAAACCACUGGUUUUGCACCCGUACUACUUUGUCUCUCUCUCUCUCCCGGUCACACAAACACACGCACAAACCGAGGCCCUGACAUUGCUGGCAUUGCCUGUCCUUUAAAAAGCCGGCCAUCCUUACUCUAAUUCGGGAGGAAUGAAGGUGCGGCCGGCAUUCCCAUUAGUACGGAUUUGUUAAUGUUGCCCUGCGGCGGAGGCCGUGCGGUCGUCCCCGGCAGUUUGCGUGGCCUGGAUGUGAUUACCAGCCCUUUUGUCACCCCGUUCCACUGCAGUUUGUGGGGCCCGUCCAUUUCCACCAGAUGUGAGUGACCACGGACCCGCCAGGCCGAGCCCGAACCCACCGCCCAUGGAAAAAUAAGCGGUGGCGUCUGGUAUGCAGGCUGAUUUCUCCCUUCACUGGCUGCACAGAAGAGGAGGAGGAGGAGGAGGAAGAAUUUGUGUAGUCCUGCUGUGGCGCCAUCCCGCCUGAAGCGAAGGCCCGAGUCCCCGAGUAAGAGACCUGGGAGACGGCGACUUCUUCCCGGCUGAUCCGUCAACUCGUCCCCUGCGUGAGACCUUCCCACGUAGCCACUAGCCUGAGCUGCACUGGUUGCCAUGUUCACUGCGGGGACCUCACACUCUCCGUCUAACGUGCCGAUACUAUGUGCGCUGGGAUUUCCAAACUUUUCCACCUCCUGGGGGCAAAGCUGCUGCAGUGAGUGUAAGAAGCCUGCUGUUACUGACGCACUACGUAAUGUAAAAUGUGCAUCGUCUCACUGCAAGAUUACAAGUUGCGAGUUGAGGGCUUGUUAGUGUCGCUGACUGACGUGUUGCUUUACAGUGAAGUGCAAAAUGCCGAUUCCUCAUUAUCUGGACGGAAUUAGACCUUUGCUUUGCCAGGCGGGUGGAGAAGGACAUUGAGGAAGUGUAUGAUUUUGUGCACAGAAACGAUCUUUCGGUCGGCAUUUUUAGCAUUUGGACUCGGGCUUCCCACAAUCUUGGCAAGUUGAAUCUGUGUCAUCCUCCUACACUUAAAAUACACGCUCGCAAGAGCAAAUGUGGCCCUUCGUGGCCGAAGGAACUUUUGUUUCAAGAUCUUAUUUGAUGCUAUAACUUUUUUGUUUUGUGUAUAUUGUGUCUCAGGGUUUGUUUUGUUUUUUUGUGUAUUCAUUCAAAGUAGAGUUCCUUCUGCUAACUUCUUUUCUUUUGAAUGUACCAUUUUGUGCUAAACCGUUUAACAUGGAUCUGUUAUUUUAGAUGAUUGUUUUGUCAAGUGUAAAAGUAUCUGUACGUUUAAUGGCAUCGGUUGUAUUUAUACAUAUGUAAUAUUGCCAAAACCCAAAUGGCUAAUCUUGGCCAUGAUGGAUUUAAAUAACAAACUGUGUCCAAAGUAGUAAGAAGUUCUCGCUAUAUCAUUUUUUUAUUGUAUAUUUCAGGAUUGUUAACAGAAGUCUUUUUUGUUAAUAGUUUGUAUUUGCUUUGUAACACAUUUGUAGACGCCUUUGAUUUGCACAUUUUGUACGAACGAAAACUCUUAAUGGUCUUAAUUUUGUACCUUUUGUCUUAACCCAGCCGGGGUAGUGUGAAUAAUCAGUGCAGCAAAUGAUCAAUUUGUUCCUCUUUGAACAAUCCUCAUUUGCCCUGCAGCUUUCCAAUAUAUCAAAUACACUGUUAUAUUAAGCUAUUACUGAUAAACCAUGUUCUACAGUUCACCACUCAAUAAAUAUCUUUAAAACAUAAAACAAACGUUGUUUUAUCCUUAUUUUCCAAGGAAUGAUGGGAAUUCAGCAGCC
This is a long non-coding RNA of Gasterosteus aculeatus aculeatus (three-spined stickleback), 2371 nucleotides long. NCBI's taxonomy places the organism in Eukaryota, Metazoa, Chordata, Actinopteri, Perciformes, Gasterosteidae. The record is from Ensembl.